This 478-nucleotide ribosomal RNA is filed under the name uncultured bacterium. RNAcentral describes it as "partial 16S ribosomal RNA". It matches the Rfam family "Bacterial small subunit ribosomal RNA", at positions 28 to 523 of the family's 1533-position model. The record is from RNAcentral.
GACGAACGCUGGCGGCAUGCCUAACACAUGCAAGUCGAGCGAGCAGAUCCCUUCGGGGUGAAGCUAGCGGCGGACGGGUGAGUAACACGUGGGCAACCUGCCUCAUAGAGGGGAAUAGCCUUCCGAAAGGAAGAUUAAUACCGCAUAAGAUUGUAGCUUCGCAUGAAGUAGCAAUUAAAGGAGCAAUCCACUAUGAGAUGGGCCCGCGGCGCAUUAGCUAGUUGGUGAGGUAACGGCUCACCAAGGCGACGAUGCGUAGCCGACCUGAGAGGGGGAUCGGGCACAUUGGGACUGAGACACGGCCCAGACUCCUACGGGAGGCAGGAGUGGGGAAUAUUGCACAAGGGGGGAAACCCUGAUGCAGCAAUGCCGCGUGAGUGAUGACGGCCUUCGGGCUGUAAAGCUCUGUCUUCGGGGACGAUAAUGACGGUACCCGAGGAGGAAGCCACGGCUAACUACGUGCCAGCCGCCGCCGUAA